RNAcentral lists this ribosomal RNA (2918 nucleotides) under Salmonella enterica subsp. enterica serovar Adjame. RNAcentral's name for it is "23S ribosomal RNA". It matches the Rfam family "Bacterial large subunit ribosomal RNA". The record is from RNAcentral. Lineage: Bacteria; Pseudomonadati; Pseudomonadota; Gammaproteobacteria; Enterobacterales; Enterobacteriaceae.
GGGUUGUGAGGUUAAGCGACUAAGCGUACACGGUGGAUGCCCUGGCAGUCAGAGGCGAUGAAGGGCGUGCUAAUCUGCGAUAAGCGCCGGUAAGGUGAUAUGAACCGUUAUAACCGGCGAUACCCGAAUGGGGAAACCCAGUGUGAUUCGUCACACUAUCAUUAACUGAAUCCAUAGGUUAAUGAGGCGAACCGGGGGAACUGAAACAUCUAAGUACCCCGAGGAAAAGAAAUCAACCGAGAUUCCCCCAGUAGCGGCGAGCGAACGGGGAGGAGCCCAGAGCCUGAAUCAGCAUGUGUGUUAGUGGAAGCGUCUGGAAAGGCGCGCGAUACAGGGUGACAGCCCCGUACACAAAAGCGCAUGUGCUGUGAGCUCGAUGAGUAGGGCGGGACACGUGGUAUCCUGUCUGAAUAUGGGGGACCAUCCUCCAAGGCUAAAUACUCCUGACUGACCGAUAGUGAACCAGUACCGUGAGGGAAAGGCGAAAAGAACCCCGGCGAGGGGAGUGAAAAAGAACCUGAAACCGUGUACGUACAAGCAGUGGGAGCACAGGUUUACCUGUGUGACUGCGUACCUUUUGUAUAAUGGGUCAGCGACUUAUAUUCUGUAGCAAGGUUAACCGUAUAGGGGAGCCGCAGGGAAACCGAGUCUUAAUUGGGCGUUAAGUUGCAGGGUAUAGACCCGAAACCCGGUGAUCUAGCCAUGGGCAGGUUGAAGGUUGGGUAACACUAACUGGAGGACCGAACCGACUAAUGUUGAAAAAUUAGCGGAUGACCUGUGGCUGGGGGUGAAAGGCCAAUCAAACCGGGAGAUAGCUGGUUCUCCCCGAAAGCUAUUUAGGUAGCGCCUCGUGAAUUCAUCUCCGGGGGUAGAGCACUGUUUCGGCUAGGGGGCCAUCCCGGCUUACCAACCCGAUGCAAACUGCGAAUACCGGAGAAUGUUAUCACGGGAGACACACGGCGGGUGCUAACGUCCGUCGUGAAGAGGAAACAACCCAGACCGCCAGCUAAGGUCCCAAAGUCAUGGUUAAGUGGGAAACGAUGUGGGAAGGCCCAGACAGCCGGAUGUUGGCUUAGAAGCAGCCAUCAUUUAAAGAAAGCGUAAUAGCUCACUGGUCGAGUCGGCCUGCGCGGAAGAUGUAACGGGGCUAAACCAUGCACCGAAGCUGCGGCAGCGACACUGUGUGUUGUUGGGUAGGGGAGCGUUCUGUAAGCCUGCGAAGGUGGCCUGUGAGGGUUGCUGGAGGUAUCAGAAGUGCGAAUGCUGACAUAAGUAACGAUAAAGCGGGUGAAAAGCCCGCUCGCCGGAAGACCAAGGGUUCCUGUCCAACGUUAAUCGGGGCAGGGUGAGUCGACCCCUAAGGCGAGGCCGAAAGGCGUAGUCGAUGGGAAACGGGUUAAUAUUCCCGUACUUGGUGUUACUGCGAAGGGGGACGGAGAAGGCUAUGUUGGCCGGGCGACGGUUGUCCCGGUUUAAGCGUGUAGGUGUGUGUUCGGUAAAUCCGGUUCACUUUAACACUGAGGCGUGACGACGAGGCACUACGGUGCUGAAGCAACAAAUGCCCUGCUUCCAGGAAAAGCCUCUAAGCAUCAGGUAACAUCAAAUCGUACCCCAAACCGACACAGGUGGUCAGGUAGAGAAUACCAAGGCGCUUGAGAGAACUCGGGUGAAGGAACUAGGCAAAAUGGUGCCGUAACUUCGGGAGAAGGCACGCUGACACGUAGGUGAAGUGAUUUACUCAUGGAGCUGAAGUCAGUCGAAGAUACCAGCUGGCUGCAACUGUUUAUUAAAAACACAGCACUGUGCAAACACGAAAGUGGACGUAUACGGUGUGACGCCUGCCCGGUGCCGGAAGGUUAAUUGAUGGGGUCAGCGCAAGCGAAGCUCCUGAUCGAAGCCCCGGUAAACGGCGGCCGUAACUAUAACGGUCCUAAGGUAGCGAAAUUCCUUGUCGGGUAAGUUCCGACCUGCACGAAUGGCGUAAUGAUGGCGGCUGUCUCCACCCGAGACUCAGUGAAAUUGAACUCGCUGUGAAGAUGCAGUGUACCCGCGGCAAGACGGAAAGACCCCGUGAACCUUUACUAUAGCUUGACACUGAACAUUGAGCCUUGAUGUGUAGGAUAGGUGGGAGGCUUUGAAGUGUGGACGCCAGUCUGCAUGGAGCCGACCUUGAAAUACCACCCUUUAAUGUUUGAUGUUCUAACGUGGACCCGUAAUCCGGGUUGCGGACAGUGUCUGGUGGGUAGUUUGACUGGGGCGGUCUCCUCCUAAAGAGUAACGGAGGAGCACGAAGGUUGGCUAAUCCGGUCGGACAUCAGGAGGUUAGUGCAAUGGCAUAAGCCAGCUUGACUGCGAGCGUGACGGCGCGAGCAGGUGCGAAAGCAGGUCAUAGUGAUCCGGUGGUUCUGAAUGGAAGGGCCAUCGCUCAACGGAUAAAAGGUACUCCGGGGAUAACAGGCUGAUACCGCCCAAGAGUUCAUAUCGACGGCGGUGUUUGGCACCUCGAUGUCGGCUCAUCACAUCCUGGGGCUGAAGUAGGUCCCAAGGGUAUGGCUGUUCGCCAUUUAAAGUGGUACGCGAGCUGGGUUUAGAACGUCGUGAGACAGUUCGGUCCCUAUCUGCCGUGGGCGCUGGAGAACUGAGGGGGCUGCUCCUAGUACGAGAGGACCGGAGUGGACGCAUCACUGGUGUUCGGGUUGUCAUGCCAAUGGCACUGCCCGGUAGCUAAAUGCGGAAGAGAUAAGUGCUGAAAGCAUCUAAGCACGAAACUUGCCCCGAGAUGAGUUCUCCCUGAGACUUAGAGUCUCCUGAAGGAACGUUGAAGACGACGACGUUGAUAGGCCGGGUGUGUAAGCGCAGCGAUGCGUUGAGCUAACCGGUACUAAUGAACCGUGAGGCUUAACCUUACAACGCCGAAG